Small nucleolar RNA from Entelurus aequoreus (snake pipefish), 215 nucleotides. RefSeq annotates it as small nucleolar RNA U3. The transcript has a single exon. NCBI's taxonomy places the organism in Eukaryota, Metazoa, Chordata, Actinopteri, Syngnathiformes, Syngnathidae. The record is from RefSeq and is a predicted model, not a curated record.
AAGACUGUACUUUUAGGGAUUAUUUCUAAAGAUUUUGUCUUGAGAAAUGUGUUUCUAAAGUGAAGGUCUUGCUAACCAUGAUGAUGAGAUUAGAUGUUUUCUUCCUGAACAUGAAGCUGACAUGGAACAAUGAUUCUGUCAUGUGUUUUUUGUCAUUGAUGAUUGUUCUUUGCUUCUUAAUGAGGUUUUGAUGGAGGGAAUAUGUUCAGAGUGGU